Molecule: ribosomal RNA, 435 nt
Filed under: uncultured bacterium
Lineage: Bacteria
Description: bacterial SSU rRNA
Rfam family: Bacterial small subunit ribosomal RNA
Source: RNAcentral
GACGUUACCUGCCCAACAGAGAACGGCCAGGUUCAUGCCAUGCCCCCCGCCGACGCGUUAGCUCCGGUGGUUGUCUUGAUUUAUUGUAUUGAAAGAGCUCAUAUGGGAUUGAGUUAGUCGGGUGUGAUGACUCUGGCCUUAACCCGGAGACGCCCUUGGAUUCUGUUCUGACUAAAUUUAGGGAGGGGAGGGAGGAAUUCCUUCUGGGUGGGUGAAUGGAAUGCAUAUUAGGAGGAACACCGGUGGCGAAGGCGCCACUCUGGACUGAAACUGACGCUGAGGAACGAAAGCAUGGGUGGCAAACAGGAUUAAAUACCCUGGUUGGCCAUGCCGUAAACGGUGGGCACUAGGUGUGGGUUCCAACUAACGGGAUCCGCGCCGUCGCUAACGCAUUAAGUGCCCCGCCUGGGGAGUACGGUCGCAAGACUAAAACUC